GAUGAACGCUGGCGGCGUGCCUAACACAUGCAAGUCGAGCGAACCCUUCGGGGUUAGCGGCGGACGGGUGAGUAACGCGUGGGUAACCUACCCUGUACACACGGAUAACAUACCGAAAGGUAUGCUAAUACGAGAUAAUAUAUUUUAAUCGCAUGGUUAAGAUAUCAAAGCUCCGGCGGUACAGGAUGGACCCGCGUCUGAUUAGCUAGUUGGUGAGGUAAUGGCUCACCAAGGCGACGAUCAGUAGCCGACCUGAGAGGGUGAUCGGCCACACUGGAACUGAGACACGGUCCAGACUCCUACGGGAGGCAGCAGUGGGGAAUAUUGCACAAUGGGCGAAAGCCUGAUGCAGCAACGCCGCGUGAGCGAUGAAGGCCUUCGGGUCGUAAAGCUCUGUCCUCAAGGAAGAUAAUGACGGUACUUGAGGAGGAAGCCCCGGCUAACUAC
RNAcentral lists this ribosomal RNA (447 nucleotides) under uncultured bacterium. RNAcentral's name for it is "bacterial SSU rRNA". It matches the Rfam family "Bacterial small subunit ribosomal RNA", at positions 28 to 504 of the family's 1533-position model. The record is from RNAcentral.